Molecule: ribosomal RNA, 367 nt
Filed under: uncultured organism
Description: bacterial LSU rRNA
Rfam family: Bacterial large subunit ribosomal RNA
Source: RNAcentral
CUUUACUGCAGCUUUGCAUUGGACUUUGACGGGACAUGUGUAGGAUAGGUGGGAGGCUGUGAAGCGGGAACGCUAGUUCUCGUGGAGCCAACCUUGAAAUACCACCCUUGUGUCGUUGAGGUUCUAACCUGGACCCCUUAUCGGGGUCGGGGACCGUGCAUGGUAGGCAGUUUGACUGGGGCGGUCUCCUCCCAAAAGGUAACGGAGGAGCACGAAGGUUGGCUAGACACGGUCGGAAAUCGUGUUGAUAGUGCAAGGGCAUAAGCCAGCUUAACUGCGAGACGGACAUGUCGAGCAGAUGCGAAAGCAGGUCCUAGUGAUCCGGUGGUUCUGAAUGGAAGGGCCAUCGCUCAACGGAUAAAAGGUA